Molecule: long non-coding RNA, 1359 nt
Filed under: Urocitellus parryii (Arctic ground squirrel)
Lineage: Eukaryota; Metazoa; Chordata; Mammalia; Rodentia; Sciuridae
Description: lncRNA (ENSUPAG00010001729.1)
Source: RNAcentral
CCCAUCCUAUAACUUCUGAACAAGUCCCACCUUCUCCAAAAUCAAGGCUGACUGGCAGAUUCUGCAGAGUCUUCUUUUUUGCAAGAAAAGCAUCUUCAGGUGAACAAAUCUAGGAGGUGGAGCAAUGCCGUGGACCUAGUUGUGAGGACUCUCGGGGAGGGAGGAGGCUCUUUGGAGAUGCAUCUACAGGAGUGGACAUCCUGCAGUGUCAGGGGUUUAAAUUAAACUGGGAGGAGGGGAGAGAGCAGCCCCRCCGCCCGCCGCCCGCCCGCAGUGCUGGUUCCUGGCAUCAUUUAGGUGCAGGGACCCAGAUGACACUUCUGAUUUUGGGUCCUGCCUUUCCAGCAGCAGUCUGCAACUUGCCGGUUUCCGGGCAGGACGGCAGCCGCUGAGCAGAAAGCAGAGUUACGCUGCAGUCCCAGCAACCUGGUUUAGCUGCAGAGGCUCUCGCCGCGCCGCCGUCCUCUCUACCCUUGCCGGAGUCUGAGUGUCUGAUCCUCACCCGAGGACUGCUCCAAGCACCCCGCCACGCACGGAGCCCCAUCUCCUUGCCCACCUACCCCCUGCAAAGGACCCCGGUGAAGGAGCUGCCGCUGCGCGCGCGCCGUCGGUUUGAAGCAAGCCCAGCUCUCCACAUACCGGGUUGGAGAGACACUUCUCCUGUCCCCGGAGCCCGACGGUGUGAGCAGGAGGGAGGAUGGAGCACGGGGCCCUGCCUGGGCUUGCCUGGGCUUGUUCAGAGCUGGGCUGCUUUGCCUGGCGACCUCGCAGAUCUGGGGCAUUUGGAGAUGUUUCGGGAGCUUGCAGCCAAGAACCAGGGCAGGAGGGACCUGGAAGCCUGGGCCACCUGCUCCCAGCGCCAAGGGGGAGCACAGCWAACUCCAGGCCGAGGCUGUGGGCAGCAGUGACACUGGUGGCUCAUGAUAAAGGCUCCCCAAGGAACCCCAGCUGACAACCCACUGGCUCCUCCCCCAGACGCCCACUUGGGGCCACUGUACUGUGGCCACCUGUCUGCCAUGGCAUCAGGAGCUGGACCCAGCCUGCAGAGGACCCGGAGGGAAGACACCGGGUGGCUUCUCAGGUCUCAGACAUGGCACGGUUGUGGCCUCCAGAAGUUGUGAUGACCCCCGAGUGGGUCCCGUGCCUUAUUCCCUUGGCUCUGACACUGAACCCCGGGUGCUCUGCUUCUCUGUCCCAUCGUUCUCAAAUCUGUCCUUCCAGAAACUCAUCUGAAUGAGCCGGGCUUGGUGGUGCACAGUUGUAAUCCAGCAGCUCCGGAGGCUGAGGCAGGAGGAUCAGGAGUUCAAAGUCAGUCCCAGCCAUUUAGUGAGGUCCUAAGUAACUCAGUGAGACCCCCCA